CAGCCGCCGCGGUAAUACGUAGGGGGCAAGCGUUAUCCGGAAUUACUGGGUGUAAAGGGAGCGUAGACGGUUAAACAAGUCUGAAGUGAAAUGCCGGGGCUCAACCCCGGAGCUGCUUUGGGAACUGUAGAACUGGAGUGUCGGAGGGGUAAGCGGAAUUCCCAGUGUAGCGGUGAAAUGCGUAGAUAUUGGGAGGAACACCGGCGGCGAAGGCGGCUUACAGGACGACAACUGACGUUGAGGCUCGAAGGCGUGGGUAGCAAACAGGAUUAGAUACCCCCGUAGUCCCUGUCUCUUAUAC
RNAcentral lists this ribosomal RNA (301 nucleotides) under uncultured bacterium. RNAcentral describes it as "partial 16S ribosomal RNA". It matches the Rfam family "Bacterial small subunit ribosomal RNA", at positions 509 to 807 of the family's 1533-position model. The record is from RNAcentral.